UCCACCCAUAGCGUUGACCUUUCCAUUUUUAAGAACUCCCAGACUCUUCUGGACUUUUCUGCUCCAUCAUCUUGCAUUCCCAAUCUCGUCCGCACUCCAUGGGGAUCGAACUCCUGGUAUUCAUACAAACUUUCCAACCAUCAGACUUUGAAGAGUCUUCUUGAUUAAUUUUCCAGGACCGUCGUCGUAAUCCUUCACUGCCUUUUCAUCGUUCAAC
Molecule: long non-coding RNA, 217 nt
Filed under: Lathyrus oleraceus (garden pea)
Lineage: Eukaryota; Viridiplantae; Streptophyta; Magnoliopsida; Fabales; Fabaceae
Description: Pisum sativum (pea) long non-coding RNA (PSAT_LNC017777)
Source: RNAcentral